AAAUUCUAGUGAGAUGAUCGCGACGGAGUCUAAAUUUGGAUGUCUUUUUCCUCUAAGUUCAUUAUUGUCUUUGUAUUCUUUAUCGCCUUUUAUUUCUUGUAAUUCUGCAACUGUUAGUUUCCUAUUUGAAUUUCCUGGAAAUACAAAUUCUCCAUCUCUUAGUGUUGCUUAAUUUGAUUGAGAUCAUUGUAAGUUUGGUAAAAGUAAAGUCUUACCCUUUCCAAU
This 225-nucleotide long non-coding RNA is filed under the name Lathyrus oleraceus (garden pea). RNAcentral describes it as "Pisum sativum (pea) long non-coding RNA (PSAT_LNC036827)". Lineage: Eukaryota; Viridiplantae; Streptophyta; Magnoliopsida; Fabales; Fabaceae. The record is from RNAcentral.